AGUGAACGCUGGCGGUAGGCCUAACACAUGCAAGUCGAACGGCAGCACAGGAGAGCUUGCUCUCUGGGUGGCGAGUGGCGGACGGGUGAGGAAUACAUCGGAAUCUACUCUGUCGUGGGGGAUAACGUAGGGAAACUUACGCUAAUACCGCAUACGACCUACGGGUGAAAGCAGGCGACCUUCCGGACUUUCGCGAUUGAAUGAGCCGAUGUCGGAUUAGCUAGUUGGCGGGGUAAAGGCCCACCAAGGCGACGAUCCGUAGCUGGUCUGAGAGGAUGAUCAGCCACACUGGAACUGAGACACGGUCCAGACUCCUACGGGAGGCAGCAGUGGGGAAUAUUGGACAAUGGGCGCAAGCCUGAUCCAGCCAUACCGCGUGGGUGAAGAAGGCCUUCGGGUUGUAAAGCCCUUUUGUUGGGAAAGAAAUCCAGCUGGCUAAUACCCGGUUGGGAUGACGGUACCCAAAGAAUAAGCACCGGCUAACUUCGUGCCAGCCGCCGCAGUAA
This 506-nucleotide ribosomal RNA is filed under the name uncultured bacterium. RNAcentral describes it as "partial 16S ribosomal RNA". It matches the Rfam family "Bacterial small subunit ribosomal RNA", at positions 29 to 523 of the family's 1533-position model. The record is from RNAcentral.